UAGGGAAUCUUCGGCAAUGGACGAAAGUCUGACCGAGCAACGCCGCGUGAGUGAAGAAGGUUUUCGGAUCGUAAAACUCUGUUGUUAGAGAAGAACAAGGACGUUAGUAACUGAACGUCCCCUGACGGUAUCUAACCAGAAAGCCACGGCUAACUACGUGCCAGCAGCCGCGGUAAUACGUAGGUGGCAAGCGUUGUCCGGAUUUAUUGGGCGUAAAGCGAGCGCAGGCGGUUUCUUAAGUCUGAUGUGAAAGCCCCCGGCUCAACCGGGGAGGGUCAGUGGAAACUGGGAGACUUGAGUGCAGAAGAGGGGAGUGGAAUUCCAUGUGUGGCGGUGAAAUGCGUAGAUAUAUGGAGAAACACCAGUGGCGAAGGCGGCUCUCUGGUCUGUAGCUGACGCUGAGGCUCGAAAGCGUGGGGAGCAAACAGG
RNAcentral lists this ribosomal RNA (429 nucleotides) under Gemmatimonadota bacterium. RNAcentral describes it as "Gemmatimonadetes bacterium partial 16S ribosomal RNA". It matches the Rfam family "Bacterial small subunit ribosomal RNA", at positions 355 to 776 of the family's 1533-position model. The record is from RNAcentral. Lineage: Bacteria; Pseudomonadati; Gemmatimonadota.